AUAUGUACCUGGCAGUGGAGAUACCACCAUCAAGGAGGUCGUUCAUCCAGGGUGAGGCGCUGCCAUUGCAGUCUGGUUGUGCUGACCCCUGCAGCUUCCCCAAAUUUAGGCCAAUGGACGAUGUGGUGUGACGCAGUUGGCCAA
This 144-nucleotide small nuclear RNA is filed under the name Larimichthys crocea (large yellow croaker). RNAcentral describes it as "U1 spliceosomal RNA (ENSLCRG00005021025.1)". It matches the Rfam family "U1 spliceosomal RNA". Rfam says of the family: U1 is a small nuclear RNA (snRNA) component of the spliceosome (involved in pre-mRNA splicing). The record is from RNAcentral. Lineage: Eukaryota; Metazoa; Chordata; Actinopteri; Sciaenidae.